CAUGCCCCGAAUAUCCCGGGCUACACGCGAGCUACAAUGGUUGGUACAAUGGGUAUCUACCCCGAAAGGGGAACGGGAAUCUCCUAAACCAAUCUUAGUUCGGAUUGAGGGCUGCAACUCGCCCUCAUGAAGCUGGAAUCCGUAGUAAUCGCGUUUCAACAGAACGCGGUGAAUACGUCCCUGCCUCCUU
RNAcentral lists this ribosomal RNA (190 nucleotides) under uncultured Methanosaeta sp. RNAcentral's name for it is "partial 16S ribosomal RNA". It matches the Rfam family "Archaeal small subunit ribosomal RNA", at positions 1150 to 1338 of the family's 1478-position model. Lineage: Archaea; Methanobacteriati; Methanobacteriota; Methanomicrobia; Methanotrichales; Methanotrichaceae. The record is from RNAcentral.